This 521-nucleotide ribosomal RNA is filed under the name uncultured Frigoribacterium sp. RNAcentral describes it as "bacterial SSU rRNA". It matches the Rfam family "Bacterial small subunit ribosomal RNA", at positions 37 to 578 of the family's 1533-position model. Lineage: Bacteria; Bacillati; Actinomycetota; Actinomycetes; Micrococcales; Microbacteriaceae. The record is from RNAcentral.
CGGCCGCGUCGACAACACAUGCAAGUCGAACGAUGAAGCUGGAGCUUGCUCUGGUGGAUUAGUGGCGAACGGGUGAGUAACACGUGAGUAACCUGCCCUUGACUCUGGGAUAAGCGUUGGAAACGACGUCUAAUACCGGAUACGAGCUUCAGCCGCAUGGCUAGGAGUUGGAAAGAAUUUCGGUCAAGGAUGGACUCGCGGCCUAUCAGCUAGUUGGUGAGGUAAUGGCUCACCAAGGCGACGACGGGUAGCCGGCCUGAGAGGGUGACCGGCCACACUGGGACUGAGACACGGCCCAGACUCCUACGGGAGGCAGCAGUGGGGAAUAUUGCACAAUGGGCGCAAGCCUGAUGCAGCAACGCCGCGUGAGGGAUGACGGCCUUCGGUUGUAAACCUCUUUCAGUAGGGAGAAGCGAAAGUGACGGUACCUGCAGAAGAAGCACGGCUAACUACGUGCCAGCAGCCGCGGUAAUACGUAGGUGCGAGCGUAUCCGGAGUAUGGCGUAAGAGCUCGAGUUCGG